Molecule: non-coding RNA, 45 nt
Organism: Schistosoma mansoni
Lineage: Eukaryota; Metazoa; Platyhelminthes; Trematoda; Strigeidida; Schistosomatidae
Source: Rfam
ACCCAGCUGACGAGUCCCAAAUAGGACGAAACGUGCGUCCUGGAU